CCUACGGGCGGCUGCAGUGAGGAAUAUUGGUCAAUGGACGUAAGUCUGAACCAGCCAUGCAGCGUGCAGGAUGACGGCCCUAUGAGUUGUAAACUGCUUUUAUACGGGGGUAAACCUGAAUACGUGUAUUCCGCUGAAAGUACUGUACGAAUAAGGAUCGGCUAACUCCGUGCCAGCAGCCGCGGUAAUACGGAGGAUCCAAGCGUUAUCCGGAUUUAUUGGGUUUAAAGGGUGCGUAGGCGGAUUGAUAAGUUAGAGGUGAAAUGUCGGAGCUUAACUCGGGAACUGCCUCGAAUACUGUUGAGCUAGAGAGUAGAUGCGGUAGGCGGAAUGUAUGGUGUAGCGGUGAAAUGCUUAGAGAUCAUACAGAACACCGAUUGCGAAGGCAGCAUACGAAGGUAUAUCUGACGUUGAGGCACGAAAGCGUGGGGAGCAAACAGGAUUAGAUACCCUAGUAGUC
This 460-nucleotide ribosomal RNA is filed under the name uncultured bacterium. Its description in RNAcentral is "partial 16S ribosomal RNA". It matches the Rfam family "Bacterial small subunit ribosomal RNA", at positions 338 to 795 of the family's 1533-position model. The record is from RNAcentral.